RNAcentral lists this unclassified non-coding RNA (501 nucleotides) under uncultured Glomus. RNAcentral describes it as "SSU rRNA". It matches the Rfam family "Eukaryotic small subunit ribosomal RNA", at positions 591 to 1092 of the family's 1831-position model. The record is from RNAcentral. Lineage: Eukaryota; Fungi; Glomeromycota; Glomeromycetes; Glomerales; Glomeraceae.
CCAAUAGCGUAUAUUAAAGUUGUUGCAGUUAAAAAGCUCGUAGUUGAAUUUCGGGAUCAAUAUAUCGGUCGUGCCAUCGGUACGUACUGGUAUCAUUGGUUUCUCCUUUCUGACGAACCAUGAUGUCAUUAAUUUGGUGUUAUGGGAAGUUAGGACUGUUACUUUGAAAAAAUUAGAGUGUUUAAAGCAGGCUUUAGCUUGAAUACAUUAGCAUGGAAUAAUAAAAUAGGACGGCAUGGUUCUAUUUUGUUGGUUUCUAGGACCACCGUAAUGAUUAAUAGGGAUAGUUGGGGGCAUUAGUAUUCAAUUGUCAGAGGUGAAAUUCUUGGAUUUAUUGAAGACUAACUACUGCGAAAGCAUUUGCCAAGGAUGUUUUCAUUAAUCAAGAACGAAAGUUAGGGGAUCGAAGACGAUCAGAUACCGUCGUAGUCUUAACCAUAAACUAUGCCGACUAGGAAUCAGACGAUGUUAAUUUUUUAAUGACUCGUUUGGCACCUUACG